Molecule: ribosomal RNA, 468 nt
Filed under: uncultured bacterium
Lineage: Bacteria
Description: partial 16S ribosomal RNA
Rfam family: Bacterial small subunit ribosomal RNA
Source: RNAcentral
GACGAACGCUGGCGGCGUGCUUAACACAUGCAAGUCGAACGGAAAGGCCCUGCUUUUGUUGGGUGCUCGAUUGGCGAACGGGUGAGUAACACGUGAGUAACCUUCCCUUGACUUUGUGAUAACUUCAGGAAACUGGGGCUAUUACCGGAUAUGAGCUCCUGCUGCGUGUUGUUGGUUGGUAAAUUUCGGCGUUUGUGGAAGGAAUCGCUGCUUAUCCGCUGGUUGGUGGGUUAGUGGCUUACAAAGGCUGUGACGGGUAGCCUGCCUGAGAGGGUUACCGGCCACAUUGGGACUGAGAGACGGCCCAGACGCCAACGGGAGGCAGCAGUGGGGAAUAUUGCAGAAUGGGCGGAAGCCUGAUGCAGCAACGCCGCGUGCGGGAUGACGGCCUUCGGGUUGAAAAACGCUUUCGCCUGUGACGAAGCGUGGGUGACGGUAAUGAGUAAAGAAGCACCGGCUAACUACGUG